AGCUCCAAUAGCGUAUAUUAAAAUUGCUGCAGUUAAAGCGUCCGUAGUCGGAUUUCGUCUAUUCGGGAUGGAUGCAGUAGCUACUUGUAGCUCACUAGCGCUUUCCCUUUUAGGCUUGGGUGGAGCUUUGGGGCAACUCAUUGUUCCACCCUGUUACUUUGAGCAAAUUGGAGUGCUCCAACCAGGCUUUAGCUUGAACAGCUCAGCAUGGAAUAACGAGAUAGGACUUUGGUUCUUCUUGUUGGUGUCAUGAACCAAAAGUAAUGGUUGAUAAGGACAUACGGGGGCAUUUGUACUUGCUGGAGAGAGGUGAAAUUCUAAGACCCAGCAAAGACAAACAAGUGCGAAAGCAUUUGCCCAGUGUGUGCCUG
Molecule: ribosomal RNA, 371 nt
Filed under: uncultured eukaryote
Lineage: Eukaryota
Description: SSU rRNA
Rfam family: Eukaryotic small subunit ribosomal RNA
Source: RNAcentral